Non-coding RNA from Triticum aestivum (bread wheat), 74 nucleotides. NCBI's taxonomy places the organism in Eukaryota, Viridiplantae, Streptophyta, Magnoliopsida, Poales, Poaceae. The record is from Rfam.
GCAUCCAUGGUUGAAUGGUUAAAGUGCUCAAUUCAUAAUUGGUAAAUUUGCGGGUUUAAUUCCUGUUGGAUGCA